GUCUAUGCGAAAGGGGGUGGAGCGAGUGCAUUACAUUUUCGACGUCUUACUUGCUAUUGUGGCAGAAGUAACGGCACAUUACAUUUGCAAGUGGCUAGAUAGCAAGGACAAACGCUGAAGCUAGCCCAACACCGACAAAAAGCCCCUAGGGAACUGGCAUUCCUUAGGGGCUUCGGUGUGCU
RNAcentral lists this small RNA (182 nucleotides) under Streptococcus alactolyticus. RNAcentral's name for it is "Streptococcus sRNA SpF66". Lineage: Bacteria; Bacillati; Bacillota; Bacilli; Lactobacillales; Streptococcaceae. The record is from RNAcentral.